GAUGAACGCUGGCGGCGUGCCUAACACAUGCAAGUCGAGCGGACUUAGCCUUCGGGCGAAAGAUAGCGGCGGACGGGUGAGUAACACGUGAGUAACCUGCCUUAAACAGGGGAAUAACAAUGAGAAAUCAUUGCUAAAACCCCAUAAGCUCCCAGCUUAGCAUUAAGCAGAGAGAAAAUAUUUAUAGGUUUAAGAGGGGCUCGCGUCUGAUUAGCUAGUUGGUAGGGUAACGGCCUACCAAGGCGACGAUCAGUAGCCGACCUGAGAGGGUGAUCGGCCACAUUGGGACUGAGACACGGCCCAAACUCCUACGGGAGGCAGCAGUGGGGAAUAUUGCACAAUGGGGGAAACCCUGAUGCAGCAACGCCGCGUGAAGGACGAAGGGUUUCGGCUCGUAAACUUCUAUCAACAGGGACGAAAAAAAUGACGGUACCUGAAUAAGAAGCCCCGGCUAACUACGUGCCAGCAGCCGCCGUAA
RNAcentral lists this ribosomal RNA (478 nucleotides) under uncultured bacterium. Its description in RNAcentral is "partial 16S ribosomal RNA". It matches the Rfam family "Bacterial small subunit ribosomal RNA", at positions 28 to 523 of the family's 1533-position model. The record is from RNAcentral.